RNAcentral lists this long non-coding RNA (1551 nucleotides) under Homo sapiens (human). Its description in RNAcentral is "HSALNT0394618". The record is from RNAcentral. Lineage: Eukaryota; Metazoa; Chordata; Mammalia; Primates; Hominidae.
ACCUGCUUAAAAGGAAAGAGAAACCAGAGUGAAUUAUGACUCUUGCCCAGUUUUUGGUUGAAUACUGCCUGCAUGCUGCUACAAUGCCCCUUUUACAGAACAUUGUCUAACAUGUAAAUAUUCUGGAAUAGUACCCCCAAAUUCAACUUGACAUGAAGACAAGAACAAAACCAUUCAGUACUGAUUAAAUGCUUGGCUGCACCCUUCUGGUUACCGCUAGAACUGAGCUUUCGCUCGCCGUCCACCACUGCUGUUUUGCUGCCGUCGCAGACCCGCCGCUGACUUCCAUCCCUCCAAUCCAGCAGGGCGCCCGCUGUGCUCCUGAUCCAGGGAAGCACCCGUUGCCACUCCUGAUCGCGCUAAAGGCUUGCCAUUGUUCCUGCAUGGCUAAGUGCCUGGUUUCGUCCUAAUCAAGCUGAACACUAGUCACUGGGUUCCACGGUUCUCUUCCGUGACCCACGACUUCUAAUAGAGCUAUAACACUCACCGCACGGCCCAAGAUUCCAUUCCUUGGAAUCCGUGAGGCCAAGAACCCCAGGUCAGAGAACACGAGGCUUGCCACCAUCUUGGAAGUGGCCUGCCGCCAUUUUGGAAGUGGCCCACCACCAUCUUGGGAGCUCUGGGAGCAAGGACCCCUGGCAUCUGGAUAUUAAGACUGUCUCCAGCCCUUUGAGGUUGAGAGAGGAAGCAAGCACGGAGGAAUGGAUUUGACAACCCACAUGUCCGUGACUCAAAGCAAGCAAGGCCUUGCACAACCAACUCGCCACCCACACAAUCUGCACAGUCUCAGUGAGAAAGCAGGAGCAGGGAGCUCUCCGCUGAGAGUGAAGAAAUGUCCUCAACUCGACUUCUCUGCAGUGUGCAUGUGUGUGAAACACAGACACACACGGGAGGAAUUUGGCUCUGUCAUUUUAGUGUACCAAAGAAAAAAAAACAGGGAGAAAUCACUUGUUUGAAGCCCUAAAUGACAUAAGGAAGAUUUUCCCAGAUCUAAAUAAUGAUCCCUAAGGUCAGGUGCUGUGUAUGGUAUGGAUUUGGAAACUUCAUAAUGUCUCUGACCACCACUCCAGGACACUGCAGACAGGUGUGCAUUUACUCAGCAUCCAGUAAACACCUGCAAGGUGCAGAGUACUACACUAGGCACAGGGAACAGAGCUACUGACUGACUGCCAGAGUUUCGAAGAAUACAGAUAAGUCAACUAUUAAAGCUAGGAAACAGACCGGAUGCGGUGGCUCACGCCUGUAAUCCCAGCACUUUGGAAGACCGAGGCGGGUGGAUCAACUGAGGUCAAGAGUUCAAGACCAGCCUGCCAACAUGGUGAAACUCCGUCCCUAUUAAUAAUACAAAAAAAUUAGCUGGGCAUGGUGGCACAUGCCUGUAAUCCCAGCUAUUCGGGAGGCUGAGGCAGGAGAAUUGCUUGAACCCAGGAGGCUGCAGUGAGCUGAGAUCGCGCCAUUGCACUCCAGCCUGGGCAACAAGAGCGAAACUCUGCCUCCAAUAAAUAAAUAAAUAAAAUAAAAUAAAAUAAAAUAAAGCCAUAAAACAGUAAA